RNAcentral lists this ribosomal RNA (274 nucleotides) under uncultured bacterium. RNAcentral's name for it is "partial 16S ribosomal RNA". It matches the Rfam family "Bacterial small subunit ribosomal RNA", at positions 523 to 796 of the family's 1533-position model. The record is from RNAcentral.
AUAUGGAGGUGGCUAGCGUUGUUCGGAAUUACUGGGCGUAAAGGGCGCGUAGGCGGACUAUCAAGUCAGGGGUGAAAGGCCUGGGCUCAACCCGGGAACUGCCUUUGAAACUGAAAGUCUAGAGACCGAGAGAGGAUAGCGGAAUUCCCAGUGUAGAGGUGAAAUUCGUAGAUAUUGGGAAGAACACCAGUGGCGAAGGCGGCUAUCUGGCUCGGUACUGACGCUGAGGCGCGAAAGCGUGGGGAGCAAACAGGAUUAGAAACCCCAGUAGUCC